This 459-nucleotide ribosomal RNA is filed under the name uncultured bacterium. Its description in RNAcentral is "partial 16S ribosomal RNA". It matches the Rfam family "Bacterial small subunit ribosomal RNA", at positions 338 to 795 of the family's 1533-position model. The record is from RNAcentral.
CCUACGGGCGGCAGCAGUGAGGAAUAUUGGUCAAUGGCCGGGAGGCUGAACCAGCCAAGUCGCGUGAGGGAAGACGGCCCUACGGGUUGUAAACCUCUUUUGUCAGGGAGCAAGGUGCAGGUCGGGACCUGCUGUGAGAGUACCUGAAGAAAAAGCAUCGGCUAACUCCGUGCCAGCAGCCGCGGUAAUACGGAGGAUGCGAGCGUUAUCCGGAUUUAUUGGGUUUAAAGGGUGCGCAGGCGGAGGCACAAGUCAGCGGUAAAAUCGCGGGGCUCAACCCCGCUCCGCCGUUGAAACUGUGUGCCUUGAGUGGGCGAAGGGUAGGCGGAAUGCGUGGUGUAGCGGUGAAAUGCAUAGAUAUCACGCAGAACUCCGAUCGCGAAGGCAGCCUACCGGCGCGCAACUGACGCUCAUGCACGAAAGCGUGGGUAUCGAACAGGAUUAGAUACCCCAGUAGUC